CAGACAAACAGCCAACUCUGGUUUCCCUCAGUGUUUCCAGUCAAUGAGGAAAAGAGAAGUGGAAAGAAUUUCCAGAAGAGAGGCGAGGGAGGAAAUUCAGAGUCUUGUCACAAGUGAGAGAAGCCCCCGUGGAACUGGAUGACGACUGCUGUGGAGCUCCAUGAACUUCGCAGUGUCCUUGCCCUUUGCUGUGACCACACAACUUUCUGAGCAGAGCAGGAACGGGUAUGGAGAACCCCAGACACCAGACACAGCAGCCUCUGGCUAUGAAAAUUUCUUGUCCUCCUUCCAAGAUGUUGGACUUCGAGAACCCUGAAAUCUCCCCCUGAAGGGACAGAAGAAUAAAUUUAUGACACCCAAAGCGUUAUUCUAGUUGAUGUCCAGGGCACAGUUCCUCUUUCUGGCAACUGCCACGCAGCGCGAAGUGAAGGCCCUGCAGAGUUUCCGCUUGUAUCACCCACAGGGGCUGAGGAGCUGGAGGAAAUCUAUGCAAAAAGUUC
This 500-nucleotide long non-coding RNA is filed under the name Fukomys damarensis (Damara mole-rat). RNAcentral's name for it is "lncRNA (ENSFDAG00000029982.1)". Lineage: Eukaryota; Metazoa; Chordata; Mammalia; Rodentia; Bathyergidae. The record is from RNAcentral.